RNAcentral lists this ribosomal RNA (224 nucleotides) under uncultured eukaryote. RNAcentral describes it as "partial 18S ribosomal RNA". It matches the Rfam family "Eukaryotic small subunit ribosomal RNA", at positions 1208 to 1456 of the family's 1831-position model. The record is from RNAcentral.
GGAAAUCUCACCAGGCCCGGACACUGGAAGGAUUGACAGAUUGAUAGCUCUUUCUUCAGUGGGUGGUGGUGCAUGGCCGUUCUUAGUUGGUUGAGUGAUUUGUCUGGUUAAUUCCGUUAACGAACGAGACCUUAACCUGCUAAAUAGUGACGCGGUUCAUCGAACCGUGGGCCACUUCUUAGAGGGACUAUCGGAUUCAAACCGAUGGAAGUGUGAGGCAAUAA